CACCCCUGGCAAUGGGCGAAGAGACACCUUGUUGGUAAUGUUCUUAUAUCAGUCAGGGGCAGAGCAGAUGACAGUCCUUUGUUAAUCUUAGCUUGAUGCCUGGGAUGGUGGCCAAAACUGUUUUAUGCCUAGGACAUAUAA
Small nucleolar RNA from Arvicanthis niloticus (Nile rat), 141 nucleotides. RefSeq annotates it as small nucleolar RNA SNORA48. The record is from RefSeq and is a predicted model, not a curated record. Lineage: Eukaryota; Metazoa; Chordata; Mammalia; Rodentia; Muridae.